RNAcentral lists this ribosomal RNA (1462 nucleotides) under uncultured Bordetella sp. Its description in RNAcentral is "partial 16S-23S ribosomal RNA intergenic spacer". It matches the Rfam family "Bacterial small subunit ribosomal RNA". The record is from RNAcentral. Lineage: Bacteria; Pseudomonadati; Pseudomonadota; Betaproteobacteria; Burkholderiales; Alcaligenaceae.
AGCUCGACUGUUAUUCCAGAUUGAACGCUGGCGGGACGUGCUUAUGACAUGCAAGUCGAACGGCAGCACGGACUUCGGUCUGGUGGCGAGUGGCGAACGGGUGAGUAAUGUAUCGGAACGUGCCUAGUAGCGGGGAUAACUACGCGAAAGGGUGUAGCUAAUACCGCAUACGCCCUUCGGGGGAAAGCGGGGUAAUCUGCCUCGCACCGUCGGGAGCGGCCGAUAUCGAUUAGCUAGUUGGUAACGGCUCACCAAGGCGACGAUCCGCAGCUGGUUUCCAGAGGAUACUCCCAGCCACACUGGGACUGAGGAUACUGGGCCUGGGACUGCCGGGAGUGCAGCAGUGGGGAAUUUUGGACAAUGGGGAAACCCUGAUCCAGCCAUCCUUAUGUGCGAUGAAGGCCUUCGGGUUGUGAAAGCACUUGGUGAAAGAAGAAACGCACGGAUAAUACCCCGCAGAAAUCAGACGGCAGUACUCUGGCAGAACAGCACCGUUUAUCCGCGCCAGCAGCCGCGGGUAAUACGGUGUACGCGUUAAUCGGAAUUACUGGGCGCAAAGCGUGCGCAGGCGGUUCGGAAAGAAAGAUGAAACCCGGAGCUUAACUUUGAACUGCAUUUUUAACUACUGAGCUAGAGGCCGAGGGAGGUGGACCGCGUGUAGCAGUGAAAUGCGUAGAUAUGCGGAGAGGAACACCGAUGGCGAAGGCAGCCUCCUGGGAUAACACUGACGCUCAUGCACGAAAGCGUGGGGAGCAAACAGGAUUAGAUACCCUGGUAGUCCACGCCCUAAACGAUGUCAACUAGCUGUUGGGGCCUUCGGGCCUUGGUAGCGCAGCUAACGCGAAGUUGACCGCCUGGGGAGUACGGUCAGGAUUAAAAACUCAAAGGAAUUACCGGGACUCCACAGCGGUGGAUGAUAAUUAAUUGAUGCAACGCGAAAACCUUACCUACCCUUGACAUGUCUGGAAUCCCGAAGAGAUUAAGGCUCUGUAUGAGAACCGGAAUUACAGAAGCGGCUAUUGCCGUCAGCUUCACAAAGCCGUGAGAUGUUGGGUUAAGUCCUGCAACGAGCGCAACCCUGUCAUUAGUUGCUGCCGAGGCUACACCAUCAGACUGCUGCGACAACUGGAUAAGAGCGGGGAUGACGUCAAGUCCUCACAGGUCUAUGGGUAGGGCUUCACACGUCAUACAAUGGUCGGGAACAGUGGCUGCCAACCCGCGAGGGGGAGCCAAUCCAGAAACCCGACUCCGUAGUCCGGAUCGCAGUUCGCAACUCGACUGCGUGAAGUCGGAAUCGCUAGUAAUCGCGGAUCAGCAUGUCGCGGUGAAUACGUUCCCGGGUCUUGUACACACUGCCCGUCACACCAUGGGAGUGGGUUUUACCAGAAGUAGUUAGCCUUAACCGUGCGAGGGCGAUUACCACGGUGACUCAUGACUGGGGUGAAGUCGUAACAAGCGUAAC